Molecule: long non-coding RNA, 201 nt
Filed under: Gallus gallus (chicken)
Lineage: Eukaryota; Metazoa; Chordata; Aves; Galliformes; Phasianidae
Source: RNAcentral
GUUCUAGGACGUUUAGAUGCUGGGGGAUUUUGAAGACUGUCAUCAGAUGGUAAUGGCCUCUCAUGUUCCUGUUCUGAGGAAGGAGGUACAGGAACUGUAUCUGUAUAUACUGAGGCUGGUGUAUCUGGCUUCAGUGGUAUCAAGUUUACUCUCCUUGGCGUCUUGCUCCAUGCUUGUAAAGUGUUGAGAGUAAUCCUCCUG